This is a long non-coding RNA of Anguilla rostrata (American eel), 1839 nucleotides long. RefSeq lists it as uncharacterized. The transcript has 3 exons. Lineage: Eukaryota; Metazoa; Chordata; Actinopteri; Anguilliformes; Anguillidae. The record is from RefSeq and is a predicted model, not a curated record.
CCUUUCUGGAUAGGAUUGAGGACCCCUGCACUACAGGCAAAACAAGUGACUGUUUCCUCCAGGAAAGCAAGUGACUGUUUUACACCCAACAGGCAAAUACAGCACUACAGGACGGUUCCCUCAUAUCUUUCAAAAAAGUUACUGCAGCUUUAAAUAAAAGCGUCAAAGAGACAGAGCUCGUCUUGAUGUCUGCGGCAUUCCAAUUCUGUGGGUGUUGCUUUCAUCUACAAUUGGAACAGAGACAGCAGAGUGUGGUGGACAAGGUGGCAGAGGGGUUGAUGAAUAGCCGCGUUUGGAGCACGAACCCCCCCCGAUCGCACCUCCGGCGCCGACCUCACAAUAGGAACGAGGACACAGAAAUGGAAUUAGAAGCGCUUAAUAUGGCACCUGCAGGGCGGUCGUUUCCACGGAGGCUCGUGAAUAUUCAUGAGCCUGGCUGCCGCCUCGGCUGGAGCUCGGAAUUUUUUUAAAAACCCGGCUAUUUCCCUUCGUGAGUGUAAGUGGGAAAAACCGACAAUGCAAGUGAAGAUGCCGCCUGGUUAGCUGCAUGCGCUUGGCGGGUCCGUAAAACGCUGUUCAUAUGCAUAAAGAAUUUCGGCAUUAGGCUUAAUUAUUGACUUAUAUUGAAUUAUUGAUUUAUUUCCCCAAAGUGAUUAUGCAAUGAGCGCAAGCCUGCUUUGAAGCGCAAGUGGAGAAACCCACCAGUGGGUAUAAUGAUGAGGCUGGCCUCCUGCUAUCGAGAUAAUAAUAUAUUCAUAGGGGUCAUAUUUCUCCUUGCAGUUAACUGGGUGAACGGUCUAUGUUCAUAGAAAGGACAGGGGCUGGACAGAACAGCCAAAGCCUACAUGUUUUACAAGCAAAGAAAAUUAAUUCAAAGAAAUGUGCAUCUAAAUAUCUGGGAAAUAACUAACAUGUUGCAACUGUGUAUUUACAUUUAUAUCGUGCACACUUGAAACACAUGGUGAUGCUUGCUGCACAGACAGUAUAAGAAAGGAAAAUUAAAUAUUGCAUGUACUGUUUAUAUCCAUGCUGCAUAUAUUUUAAAAGGAGCGUCAUACCUUGUAUAUCUGUUAUGUUUAUUUAUUUUUUUUAAGUAGGUAUUUAUGGUAUUUGAUACUUCUCUGGAAUUAGAUUGUAGCUUCAAAAGUUCUGUAAGCUUUAUAUUGGGAAAUCACUGUUGUACAAGCCCUAUAGCUGUGGUAACCAGCCCUGCGCCUAGAGAUCUACCAUCUCAUAGGUUCAUUCCAAACAUAACAAAGCACACCACAUUUACCAGCUGGAGACCUUGUUGAGCUGCUCAUUAGUAGAGUCAGGUGUGCCAAAUUAGAGUUGAAAUGAAAACCUACAGGAUGGUAGAUCUCCAGGAACAAGGUUGGUUACUACUGCCCUAAAGCCUAUGAAUUUGGGUAACUCUUUACUUUCAUUAGUGAAAUUAAUGGAUAGUUUUCUGUAUCCACCCUUUUGUAAACAGAUAAUGCAAAUCAGCUUCAGUUAAGCCAUGGUAAUUAUUCUGAGCAGCCACAGAAAGUGUAAAUUAAGAGAGGUGAAAUGGCACAGGCUGUAGAUGGAGUGGCAAUUAUUUUGUAACAUUUCCAUAGAUCAAUUAUAAUUAGGAUUCAAUUAAAUAUUACAUUUUAAAUGAGGGAGUUUGUCAAUCAAAUUUAAAGUGUAAGGUUAUUGUUAAGUUCCUCUUUAUUUUUUGAUGCUUAAUCUAUUGUUUUGCAGAGGUUACCACUGUAGAAUGUGUGCACUGUGAGAAGCUCUGCAUAGAUCAUUUUAAAAGAGGCAGUUUUGACUCUUUGAUUUUUAGAUUUUUUUUUUUAGUAUCAAUAAAUGUUU